This is a long non-coding RNA of Hippocampus comes (tiger tail seahorse), 250 nucleotides long. RefSeq lists it as uncharacterized. NCBI's taxonomy places the organism in Eukaryota, Metazoa, Chordata, Actinopteri, Syngnathiformes, Syngnathidae. The transcript is spliced from 3 exons. The record is from RefSeq and is a predicted model, not a curated record.
ACGGAAAACACGCCAGCAGACGCCACAGUCGAAAUGUUCAUGUGGGCCCACAAUGUGGUGAGCGGGAGCAUGCAGCAGUGGAAGGAGGCCGUCCAGGGUUGCUCAACGGCAGCUGGGAUGGGCUCCACAUCUCCGUAACGUCCACAAUCCAUUUGCUGCUGAUAAGGGAUGAAAGGUGCUAUGAGGUAAACAAGAAUCUGACGGCAAGGGGAGGUGGCACGGCCGACUGUAAAGCUCUGCGUCUGGUGAC